Molecule: long non-coding RNA, 3720 nt
Filed under: Cricetulus griseus (Chinese hamster)
Lineage: Eukaryota; Metazoa; Chordata; Mammalia; Rodentia; Cricetidae
Description: lncRNA (ENSCGRG00015032476.1)
Source: RNAcentral
AGAACACUGAAUAGCUGUGGCAUUUCUGGUCACCAGGAAAACCCCUGCAUGGGAUAUUAACAACAAUAGAUCGCAUGCUGUGUCCGGUGCUGUUUUAUUUACACACAUAAUUGGCUCAGAUUUGGGGUUUGUUUUCUUGUCCAGCUGUCCAUGCCGGAUGCUUCUUUAGUAGGUUGGCUCAACAGUCUCCAGUAAUCAGCAGGACUCUAACACAGGAUGGGCGUCUUUCUCCUGAGUAAAAGAAAGCACAGCAUGAAAGGCAGGGAGGGGGAGGGAGAGGAGAGGAGAUGGGAGGGGAAGGAAGAGAAGAGGAGGGCAGGGGGAAGAGGAGGGGAGAAGAGGAAAAGUCCAGGAGAGGGCAUUAAGCUUGGAGGCAAUGCAUAUACUUGGGAUCCAACGAUUAAAAUCCAUAAAGAGGAGCAAAUCGAGUAAAGAGGCAAACACAGAGAGACAGGGGUAGGGUGAGCUGAGACUAUUUUAGUUCCUGGUCUCAGACUUACAAGGGAAGCAGAGGUGACUGCAUUACUCAGGAGUAGCUGGACCUGAGUCAGCACUGUGGAAGGACCACCUUAGAAGUCCCUGAGACAUUAGAAUGUCUUUGCCACCUGGCAAUAGGUGAUAUGGAGAUGACUACCAGUGGAUUUUAGCUAUGUAGAACAAGACGCUAGGCACAGGGAGAGAGUUGGCAUGGUUUGAAGGGGACUUUGUUAUCAGGCCUAUACAGUGUGGAUUCUUGAACCCUUAUCUGCAACCAACGGUAAAAGGGAGGGCUUCAUCCAAGUACAGAAACACCCAAACUGCCUUUCCCAAGCCUCCUCAGCUAACUGCUCAAUGGGUUCCUUCUCGUAUCCUUUCUCAGUAGCUCUUGUCAGAGUCAGCAGGCAUGCCUACACAGGCGUCUCUAUACACAGAGAGCAGAAAGCCCUUCCUGGAGUGCUGCGCAUUCAGGUGCAGCCAGACACAGAGCUCUUCCCUUAAUAUCCACUCCGUCCUUCACAUAAGUCACACAGACCUCUCAGCUCCAUUGUUCCAGGUUGCUGCUACUUGAGGUGGCAUCUCGUCCUAAGUAGCGGCUGCAAGGGAGUGUCCAGAAUCCUAAGAAGCUGGUUAAGACAUCCCCGGGGCUGUCCUUGUUGCAACCCUUGCUUGGGUCAUCAACUCCCUUUGUGCAUCAAGAACAUCACCUUUGAAGUGGGUGCAUAUGAAGUUAGUUUAUCAUAAGUGUUAAGUGGGUCAAAGGAUAUAAGACGGUCGUGCAAGACCCAGGAGUCUGUGCUUCCCAGCGACCCUGAACUGUGUUGGAAAAUCAUAACUUCAUGUCGUGAAACUCUAAUAAUUUUUAGCACGGAGCCCACAUUUUCCUUUUGCACUGGACUCUAUAAAUUAUGUAUCCAGUCCUGGAGGGGGUUUAAACACAAAACAACGUUUACUGUUGAUAACAAUUAUUAAAGGCUGUGGAGAGGUUACUUUCUUUUCAGGACUGGAAUGCUGAGAUAGUACAGAAUUCUUACCUCCCUGCACUCUCAUCCAAGACUCCUGAGGCUCCAGAGAACUCAGCCAUCAUCCCCAGACCCAAGAUUCUUCUGUGCAAACUUCAGCUGGUCCUUUCUUCAUCAGGGUGUCUUGACACUGACCUUCCAGAUACUAGUCCCUUCUAAGCCCCACUGCUGCUCUGCACCUGUUGAAAGCGCACUUCUCUGAGUGGUCGGGCAGCACUGCCCCUAGCGGAAGUUGGAAGCAUGAAACUUCCAUUCAGGAAGUCGGUAGAGCCCCUGCCACCUGCUCCUGCUGCCUCCUUUCAUCCUGUCCUCAACCUCCAACAGCAUCUUAGCUGUCAGUCCUGGGUGAGAACUCGGAUCAGGGCUGCUCCUGGCAGAGCAGGGUAGACUUGGGGGCUUCGAGAGGGGGAGUGGGAUUUCUCAGUGGGGUAAGCAAGCCUUUGAGGCUGGGCCCAGCCUUUAUUUAAAGAGAGGACUGUGUAUAGACCUGUGUGGCUCUCUCUCUCUCUCUCUCUCUCUCUCUCUCUCUCUCUCUCUCUCUCUCUCUCUCUCUCUCUCUCUCUCUCUCUCUCUCCUCUUUCUCUCUCUGUCCCUCUACAUACUAUAUCACGAAGCAGGUCUGUCACCAUGUGUCAGUGUGGGCAAGAUGAUAAGCUGCUGACAGAAGCCCUAUAUGGAGGUAGUACGAACAUCCUUGUCAUUAGGCUUGUGACUCAAAUUGUGUGUGUGUGUGUGUGUGUGUGUGUGUGUGUGUGUGUGUGUGUGUGUGUGUUUAUUUCUGAGUGGAUUGUGGCAUGGUGAGUGAGGUGAAUGUGCUCACCUCUACAUGGGACAGUCAUCCAGUGUGUGUGUGUGUGUGUGUGUGUGUGUGUGUGUGUGUGUGUGUGUGUGUGUGUGUGUAUUAGUGGUACAAACUGCGUGGUUGUGUAUGUGUGUACCUGCCGGUGUUCUAGCCUGUUUCUGAGUGAGUGGAGCAGAGCCCGCAGAGUACGUGAGUGUGGGUGUCUGGUGAUUCAGUGUGUAUUUGUAUCAGCCACUGUGCGUCUGCCACCACGUCUGCAUCUAAGUGUGGUGGCGUACUGCCGUGAGUGGCAAUACCCAAUGUGUUCAUGUGUGUGUCUGGUGUGAGCACCAUGGUGUACGCUAGAGCCAGAGAGGCUGCAAUACUAGGCUGGGCGGGUGCAGCAUCUUGUCUUGGCAGUGGCGAGUAGCCGGUGUGACCCGCGGUGUGUGCCUUGUCUCACAGGCCAGGACAGAUCACGCCCUCCCCCUCCGGGGACUAUGAAGCCACGACCCUUCCAGGGAGCCAAAGAGCGGGGCAUACGCCGGAGCCUCUAGGACCCGGCGGAGGCCGGCCGCUGUCCCCGGGCCGCGCGAGUGAGCAUGUGCAGACCGGGCGCCCGUUCGCCCGCUCCGCGCCCGCCGCCCGCUCCACUCCGCGCCCGCGGCUCAGCUCGGCGCCCGCCGCUCUGCCACUGAUCAGCGUGGAAGUCCGCAGCCGGGGGGAGCUGUGCGGCGUGGGCCUGGGCGCGUUGGUGUGGUCGCCACUAGCGCCGGGGGCGUGCGGGCGUCUGGGCUCCGGGCACUGAGAGGCUGCGGGCUCGGCGCCCCAGAAGGCGGGCGCCCCAGCCGGCCACGAUCGCGGGGUGAGUCCUGUCUCCGGGGUUCCCCAGCCAGGACCCCGGCGCAGGCUGCGACCUGGAUCUACCCCAGCCGCGGGCAAACAAGUUUGUGUAGACACGACUGGGAGCGCGCGGGGCUGCACCUGCUGGGGCGCGGGGCGCGCUGGUGGGGCGCCUUCUCCGGGCCGGUGCUCGGCGCGCCAGGACCGUGGCGGAUGUGUGGGGAGCGCCUUGCCACGUCUGGGGUUGGCUGAGGGUGCACAAGCAGUUGCACCAGCCGCGUCUCUGCCAAGAGCUAGGGUACACCGGGUCCGAGACCCGGCGGGGCUGAGAACAGGAUUUGUUUGAGGUGCGCACUGCCUCCCUCCUAGGUGGAGAUAUUCGCCAGAAGCGGCUCCCCCUCUCUCGUUCCGUUCCCCAGCCAGGCUUCCGGUCAGCGCAGGGUUUUCUCCAGUCUCUUGGUGAACUUGAACACAGGCAGAGAUAAAACCGAAACAGCCAGAACUGACGUGAGGAAAGAGGCAGGAAGCUUAUUGGUCACACGUUCCAGGAGCAGAUGGUUUGGCUGUGAAUACUGACUGUCUCCGAUCAUCUAGGCA